Daphnia carinata is the source of this 245-nucleotide long non-coding RNA. RefSeq lists it as uncharacterized. The transcript is spliced from 3 exons. The record is from RefSeq and is a predicted model, not a curated record. Lineage: Eukaryota; Metazoa; Arthropoda; Branchiopoda; Diplostraca; Daphniidae.
UCAGGAUUGUGGAUACAAACAUUAUGGUUCUAGCGGUUUCCUUAGUCCAUGGCAGAAACAAAUAGGGACAGAAAAUUCCAUCUUCAUCACUUACAGAAGAAAAGGCAUAUUUUUAGAUUGGCUUAAUUGAUCUACUUUUUUUCUGUUCGGGGUCACAAAUGUCAUGAAGCUGGCCACACCUCGAAAGGCUGCCUAGAUCUAUUCAGUGAAUUGAAAGAAAGUUGGAAAGCAGCAUGAGCAAUACA